This 209-nucleotide long non-coding RNA is filed under the name Mytilus galloprovincialis (Mediterranean mussel). Lineage: Eukaryota; Metazoa; Mollusca; Bivalvia; Mytilida; Mytilidae. The record is from RNAcentral.
UGGCCCUUACUACUUAUUAUUAUAUUCCUAAUUGGAGAUGAGGAUGAGAUGGAGAUUGGAGAUAAUAUAAAAAUAUAUUCUAUUGUUUUGAUAGUCAUUGAGACCCUUUUAACCCGAGCAACACGACAGGUGCCACAUGUGGAAUAGAUCUGCGUAUCCUUCCGGAGCACCUGAGAUACCUCCUGUUUUUGAUGGGGUUCAUUUUACUA